Molecule: transfer RNA, 72 nt
Filed under: Ectyoplasia ferox (brown encrusting octopus sponge)
Lineage: Eukaryota; Metazoa; Porifera; Demospongiae; Axinellida; Raspailiidae
Description: tRNA-Tyr
Rfam family: tRNA
About the family: Transfer RNA (tRNA) molecules are approximately 80 nucleotides in length. Their secondary structure includes four short double-helical elements and three loops (D, anti-codon, and T loops).
Source: RNAcentral
AGUAAGAUGACAGAAAGGUUAUGUGCUCCGCUGUAAACGGGGAAAAUAAGAGUUCGAGUCUCUUUUUUACUA